CAAGGCCUUGCGCUCUUUGAGCGGCCGAUGUCAGAUUAGCUAGUUGGUGAGGUAAAGGCUUACCAAGGCGACGAUCUGUAGCGGGUCUGAGAGGAUGAUCCGCCACACUGGAACUGAGACACGGUCCAGACUCCUACGGGAGGCAGCAGUGGGGAAUUUUGGACAAUGGGGGCAACCCUGAUCCAGCCAUGCCGCGUGAGUGAAGAAGGUCUUCUGGUUGUAAAGCUCUUUCGGCCGGGAAGAAAUCGCAUGGGCCAAUACCCUGUGUGGAUGACGGUACCGGAAUAAGAAGCACCGGCUAACUACGUGCCAGCAGCCGCGGUAAUACGUAGGGUGCGAGCGUUAAUCGGAAUUACUGGGCGUAAAGCGUGCGCAGGCGGUUUUGUAAGACAGGCGUGAAAUCCCCGGGCUUAACCUGGGAACUGCGUUUGUGACUGCAAGGCUAGAGUACGGCAGAGGGGGGUGGAAUUCCACGUGUAGCAGUGAAAUGCGUAGAGAUGUGGAGGAACACCAAUGGCGAAGGCAGCCCCCUGGGUCGAUACUGACGCUCAUGCACGAAAGCGUGGGUAGCAAACAGGAUUAGAUACCCUGGUAGUCCACGCCCUAAACUAUGUCAACUAGGUGUUGGGUGGGUAAAACCAUUUAGUACCGUAGCUAACGCGUGAAGUUGACCGCCUGGGGAGUACGGCCGCAAGGUUAAAACUCAAAGGAAUUGACGGGGACCCGCACAAGCGGUGGAUGAUGUGGAUUAAUUCGAUGCAACGCGAAAAACCUUACCUACCCUUGACAUGCCAGGAACUUGCCAGAGAUGGCUUGGUGCCCGAAAGGGAGCCUGGACACAGGUGCUGCAUGGCUGUCGUCAGCUCGUGUCGUGAGAUGUUGGGUUAAGUCCCGCAACGAGCGCAACCCUUGUCGUUAAUUGCCAUCAUUUAGUUGGGCACUUUAACGAGACUGCCGGUGACAAACCGGAGGAAGGUGGGGAUGACGUCAAGUCCUCAUGGCCCUUAUGGGUAGGGCUUCACACGUCAUACAAUGGUCGGUACAAAGGGUUGCCAAGCCGCGAGGCGGAGCCAAUCCCAGAAAGCCGAUCGUAGUCCGGAUUGCAGGCUGCAACUCGCCUGCAUGAAGUCGGAAUCGCUAGUAAUCGUGGAUCAGCAUGUCACGGUGAAUACGUUCCCGGGUCUUGUACACACCGCCCGUCACACCAUGGGAGCGGGUUCCGCCAGAAGUAGGUAGCCUAACCGCAAGGGGGGCGCG
This 1257-nucleotide ribosomal RNA is filed under the name metagenome. Its description in RNAcentral is "bacterial SSU rRNA". It matches the Rfam family "Bacterial small subunit ribosomal RNA", at positions 202 to 1454 of the family's 1533-position model. The record is from RNAcentral.